GGCCGGUUGGCCCAAUGGCAAGGCGUCUGACUACGAAUCCUGCAAUGGACGAUGCAAUCAGGAGAUUCUGGGUUCGACCCCCAGGCUGGUCA
This 92-nucleotide transfer RNA is filed under the name Colletotrichum higginsianum. RNAcentral describes it as "tRNA CH063_16378". It matches the Rfam family "tRNA". From Rfam's summary of the family: Transfer RNA (tRNA) molecules are approximately 80 nucleotides in length. The record is from Rfam by way of RNAcentral. RNAcentral also lists the same sequence under 1 other name. Lineage: Eukaryota; Fungi; Ascomycota; Sordariomycetes; Glomerellales; Glomerellaceae.